Molecule: long non-coding RNA, 26591 nt
Filed under: Medicago truncatula (barrel medic)
Lineage: Eukaryota; Viridiplantae; Streptophyta; Magnoliopsida; Fabales; Fabaceae
Description: long non-coding RNA (MTRU_LNC001307)
Source: RNAcentral
UUAUUUUGGAUUUGGAAUAUGUAGCUCAUGUCUCAGACUUUGGAACAUCUAAGUUUCUAAAUCCCAAUUCAUCCAAUAUGACUUCUUUUGCAGGCACCUUUGGAUAUGCCGCUCCAGGUCAAUUCCUUUUCAUUCUUUUUUUUAUAUUAAUUAAGGUUAUAAUAUUUGUAGUUUAUCUUUAGUAGUUACAUGUAAAAUAGAGUUAUAACACAAUUGUCUAAUCUACAUUUCAUGUUUUGUUUAUGGAAUUAUAUUUUACACACGAUAACUCUUCUUUGAAUGUUUACAGAACUUGCAUACACAAUGGAAGUAAAUAAGAAAUGCGAUGUAUAUAGUUUUGGGAUAUUAACCUUGGAAAUACUUUUUGGAAAGCACCCUGGAGAUAUUGUAACUUAUUUGUGGCAACAACCUUCACAAAGUGUUACGGACCUGAGACUUGAUACGAUGCCAUUGAUAGAUAAGUUGGACCAGCGUCUCCCUCAUCCCACAAAAACCAUUGUUCAAGAGGUGGCAUCGAUGAUAAGGAUUGCAGUUGCUUGCUUAACAGAAAGCCCGCUUUCUCGCCCUACCAUGGAGCAGGUCUGCAGGCAGUUUGUAAUGUCAUAAUCAUCUUCAAAUAUAUAUUGUCUCAUAUAUAUAGCCUAAAUGUUGUUUUCACCAAAUAUGCUUCUCUACUACUUCAUUGUUUCAUAUUUGUAAAACUUUUUGUUUGUAUUGUAAAUCAUUUGAACUGGGUGGUAUUAUCAAAUUUUACGUUCAGUCAAACAUGUGAUUAUAAAUUCAUAGUUUAAAGUACACUUUAAAUAUUACUAUAAUUUUAAAUUUUGUUUUAACUUUUUAUGAAACAUUUAUAUGCGUAUAAAAGUGAACCUAUUGAUACUACAUGGUAAUGUUCUUCAUAAACAAUUUAUCAUAUAUAAGUUUAUCAGACAAAGGUGAAAGCCUACCUCGAUAGAAAUAAAAAACACAAUUCCCCGACUGCAUUUUCUGAAAAGAAUUAAAGGCUUCGUCAAUAAAGAUCACACAAUUUCUGUUACCAACACAGAAACCCGAAGCAGAAGUAGUUCAUUAAGUAUAAUUAUAUCUUCUCUUGUAACAUAUUGACAAGGAAUGCUAUUGUGCAUUAAUGAAUCCUUAUAAUGUUAAAUGAAAUGCCAAUGAGUAAGAUAUAUUAAAUUGGACAAGCAAUAUGCAAGAAUAGGCAACAAAUUUAACCCAAAAUACAAACGACUUUUGAUCAUAUUAUCAAAUUUUGUUAUUGCCAGAUCAAAGGAAUUACAAUAGUGUUGCUUAAGCAGGGGAACUCAUUCAGACACAUCUCUUCAGAAGCCUCUAAAAUAGCAAACCACCUCCUUUUUCACAAGUGACACUAUAAUAUAAGCAAUUCUCAUGGCUACUUAACAAAAUGGCAAGUAUCUUUAAAUAGAAUAAAUGAAAAAAUAACUAGAAAAUUUUGAUUAAGCUAAGAUACACAAUUAAUCAAUUUUUCUCUUUUGGUUUAUAAAAAUUAUUUUAGACGUCUUUGUAGUAUUAUUAUUGUUGGAAAUUCUGCCUUAGUUGCGGUCCGCCCCUAGUCGCCUAAAUUGCGACCUUUGAUUAACCUUCAUUGCAACCUCCAACACCUUCAUUGUGUUGGCUUUGAGGGGGUGAAUUUAGUCUCAUAUUAGAUAGAUAUGACUCUUGAGAACAGUUUAUAAAGAGAAGACACUUCUCACCUUACAAGCCGGUUUUGUAAAAAUGAGUUAGGCCCCAAAUUUCAACAAUUAUUAUAUAUUACUCUCUCCGUUUUCAAUUAUAAGUAAAUUUGACUUUUUAGAUUCAUUCAAUUAAUAAUGUAUUUGGUUCAUAUUAUGGACCACAUCCAUCGUUAAUUGAAUGUACCUAAAAAGUUAAAUUUGUUUAUAAUUAACAACGGAGGGAGUAUAUAUUAGGCAACAACAAGCAACCAAUAGUUAUCGGGAUACAUGCCUAUAUCAACGUCAAUUUUAAACGGAUAGUCGCGGGUAUAGAUUUUGCUGCAAUUUCUAGGUACAAAGUGUGGCACUAUUCUGCGGCCUGAAAGAUGCCUAUAAAAGACAUGUCAAAUUAAAAUAAAGGGUUGGAUUUCCAAGGUUCCGAUCCUUUUAUAAUGACGGAUGGAGCUGGAAAUGAGUCGAGUCGAAUCAAACUUGUCUGAGCUCGACUCGAUUCAUUAAGAAUUGGCUCGGUUCGAGUUUGACACGAGUUUUUUUUUUCAACUCGAGUUCGGCUCGUUUAAAGUUCACGAACAAUUUGGUUCGGCUCAUUAUAUUCAAUUCGUUUGUUCAAAGCACAUAACUUUAGGUAUGAAAACGAGUAAAGCCACUUGAACCACAUAACUCAAAAGUCAAAGAAUUUAAAUUUUUUACCUAUAAAUAUAUUGGAAUUUAUACCAAUUUUUAAUGGACUGGAUGAGGCUAAUUUUCAGCUCAAUUAAUUGAUGAACUUAAUUUUCAACUCAAGUUCGGCUCAUUUGGUUCAUGAAUCAAGUUCGACGAAUCAAUUAUCGAAUCGAAUUACGAACUCUAAUCGAGUUGGUUCGGUUCAUUGCCAACCCUAACGACGAAUAAACUUUUUUUUUUUACUUUCACAUUUUUUUUUCUUUUAAAACAAGUUGUCAAACACAUUUGUUUCACUAGUUUAUAAUAAGGUAACAAACCAUACCACUAAAAAAGCAAUAGAAUAAUAAAUAAAAACACCUUAUUGUAAUAAUAAUAUAGUGUUAAAAAUCAUUUAUUUAGUUAGUACAAUCAUAUAAUUUCGAAAAUAAUAUGUAAAUAUAGUACAAUUACAUAUACUAAGUAUAGUAUAUUUUACUUGUCAAAAAAAAAGUAUACUAUAUUUUAGAUUUAUUAAAAAAAAAUGUAUAGUAUAUUUUAGAUUGUUACACAACAAAUAUUAUGGUGCAGGGGUAAGGCUUCCUCACAUCCAACCUCAUACAUGGUUUGAUUCUUAGCCUUUAGUUAUAAUUUGACAUUUGUAUUUUUAGGCAUGUUUUAUAUCCAACCACAAUCAUGAUUUAUUACAAGAAGCAAGAUUCACUAAAGCACAAAGUCUUAUGGGAUGGUGAUGCGGUUGGAUGUAGUUCUAAGCAUUUUGAGUUUUAUAUAAUGAAUGAUUUUUGUUUGAUAGAUGGAUAAAAUGACAAUAAUUAUUGAAAAUUCACACAUAUAAAUGAAGAAAUUGAGGUUCAAAUCGCACUUACGGCGUUUGGUUUAACAAUUUUCGACAUUUUUACCAAUUGAAUUAUGAGUUGUAGAUUAUAUAAUGAAUGGUUUAAUAGAGUAAUAAAAGAUAAGUAUGUGUGUGUCCCUCUCUAUAUAUAUUUGGAAGCAGAUAAGUAAAUAUUUUAAUCAUAAAUGUUUUAGAUUUUUUUUCUUUUUUGUGGCUCAGUUAAACUCGUUACCUUCCCCUAUUACACCAACCUCAUGUUUCUGAUCAAAACCACCCUAAUAAGUCCAAGUCUUCACCUUAAAGACAAAAGUGGAAGACUUUGAUGAGCCUGACUCUUCACUGUUACAAAUGGGAAUAUCAACUUUUGUGACAACUUUCUCUCUCAUACUUACAUUAUUUUUUACUUUAUAUCUCUAUUGUUUUGGUUUUCGUGCAAAUACCAACUUUUUCUUUGUAAAUUAUGGUUGUCCCAUAAUUAUCAACCAAAUAGUUGUUCAAAUAACACUCCUUUUAUAAAUAUCACCUGCAUCUCCCAUUAUAAUGCAUUCAUCAUAAUAAGUGUCGCGUUCAAAUCAAAUUAUACUUUAAUUGAUUGUGAUUGCCAAUACCUUAAUUGUGUUCAAAUUGCCAAUACCAAUGUCGUGUCUUCUUUUGUUCUUUUAUGUGUUUGUAAUGAUCAAAUCACCUCAUGCUGCAACAAAAAUCAAAGGCCGUGAGGCAGAGUCUCUGUUGAAGUGGAAAGAAAGCUUUGACAACCAAAGCAAAGCAUUACUCUCUUCAUGGAUUGGUAAUAAUCCUUGUAGUAGCUGGGAAGGAAUCACAUGUGAUGAUGAUUCAAAAUCCAUCAACAAGGUAAAUCUCACCAAUAUUGGACUAAAAGGUACACUUCAAAGUCUCAAUUUCUCAUCACUUCCAAAAAUCCGUACCUUAGUUUUAAGAAACAACUUCCUGUACGGCAUUGUUCCACACCAUAUUGGAGAGAUGUCUAGUCUAAAAACUCUUGAUUUGUCGAUUAACAAUCUUUUUGGAUCAAUACCACUAUCCAUAGGUAAUUUGAUUAAUUUGGAUACUAUUAACCUUUCAGAAAAUAAUAUCUCUGGACCACUUCCUUUCACUAUAGGAAAUUUGACAAAACUCAAUAUACUAUAUCUUUACUCAAAUGAUCUCACCGGACAAAUUCCACCUUUCAUAGAUAAUUUAAUUAAUUUGCAUACUCUUUACCUUUCAUACAAUAAUCUCUCUGAACCAAUUCCUUUCACUAUUGGAAACAUGACAAAACUCAUUAGAUUAUCUCUUUUCUCAAAUUCUUUCACUAAGAAUAUUCCAACAGAAAUUAAUAGGCUUACCGAUUUGAAAGCACUCGAUUUGUAUGAUAAUAAUUUUGUUGGUCAUUUACCUCAUAAUAUUUGUGUCGGUGGGAAGUUGGAAAAAUUCUCUGCUGCUCUUAACCAGUUCACAGGCCUAGUUCCAGAGAGUUUGAAGAAUUGCUCAAGCCUUAAGAGACUGAGGCUUGAACAAAACCAACUGACUGGAAAUAUAACAAAUAGUUUUGGUGUGUAUCCAAACUUGGACUACAUGGAAUUGAGUGAUAAUAAUUUGUAUGGUCAAAUUUCUCCAAAUUGGGGAAAGUGCAAGAAUCUCACAAGCCUUAAAAUCUCCAACAAUAAUUUGACAGGAAGCAUACCACCAGAACUAGGCAGAGCAACAAAUUUACAUGAACUUAACUUGUCUUCAAACCAUCUUACGGGGAAAAUUCCAAAGGAGCUAGAAAACUUAUCUUUGUUGAUCAAACUCUCGUUAAGUAACAAUCAUCUUUCUGGAGAAGUUCCUGAACAAAUUGAAUCAUUGCACGAAUUAACUGCAUUGGAGCUUGCAGCAAAUAAUUUCAGUGGCUUCAUCCCUGAAAAACUUGGUAUGUUGUCUAGGUUAUUGAAGUUAAAUUUGAGCCAAAAUAAGUUUGAGGGGAACAUUCCUGUUGAGUUUGGCCAAUUGAAUGUUAUUGAAAAUCUUGAUCUUAGUGGGAAUUCUAUGAAUGGAACCAUACCAGCAAUGCUUGGCCAGUUAAAUCACUUAGAAACAUUGAAUCUCUCACAUAACAAUCUCUCUGGUACCAUUCCCUCAAGCUUUGUUGAUAUGUUAAGCUUGACAACUGUUGAUGUAUCUUACAACCAGUUGGAGGGUCCGACUCCAAACAUUACAGCUUUCGGAAGAGCUCCAAUUGAAGCAUUGACAAAUAACAAGGGCUUGUGUGGUAAUAUCUCUGGCCUAGAGCCUUGCUCAAUAUCUGGUGGCAAGUUUCAUAAUCAUAAGACAAACAAAAUUUGGGUGCUAGUUCUAUCACUCACUCUAGGUCCUCUACUGUUAGCAUUAAUUGUUUAUGGGAUCUCAUACUUUUUUUGUCGAACUUCAAGCACAGAAGAAUACAAGCCUGCACAAGAAUUUCAAAUUGAAAAUCUAUUUGAAAUAUGGAGCUUUGAUGGCAAAAUGGUGUAUGAGAACAUAAUCGAAGCCACGGAAGAUUUUGACAACAAACAUCUCAUUGGGGUUGGAGGACAUGCAAGUGUUUACAAAGCAGAGUUGCCUUCAGGUCAAGUUGUAGCUGUGAAGAAACUUCAUUUAUUACAAAAUGAAGAAAUGUCUAAUAUGAAAGCUUUCACAAAUGAGAUUCAUGCUUUGACAGAAAUUCGACAUCGCAACAUUGUGAAGUUAUACGGGUUUUGUUUACAUCGACUACACUCAUUUUUGGUUUAUGAAUUCUUGGAGAAGGGUAGUGUGGACAUCAUUUUGAAGGACAAUGAACAAGCUGCUGAAUUUGAUUGGAAUAAGAGGGUGAAUAUUAUUAAAGAUAUAGCUAAUGCCUUAUGCUAUCUGCAUCAUGAUUGUUCCCCUCCUAUAGUUCAUCGAGAUAUAUCCAGCAAGAAUGUUAUUUUGGAUUUGGAAUAUGUAGCUCAUGUCUCAGAUUUUGGAACAUCUAAGUUUCUAAAUCCCAAUUCAUCCAAUAUGACUUCUUUUGCAGGCACCUUUGGAUAUGCUGCUCCAGGUCAGUCCCUUUUUUUUUUUUUUUUGUCUAUAUUAAUUAAUUAAGGUUAGAAUAUAGUUUAUCAUUAGUAGUUACAUGUAAAAUAGAAUUAUUUCACAAUUGUCUAAUCUACAUUUCAUGUUUUGUUUAUGAAAUUCUUUUGCAGACAAAGGCUAAAGCCAACCUCGAUACAAAUAAAAAACACAAUUCCCCGACUGCAUUUUCUGAAAAGAAUUGAAGGUUUUUCAAUAAAGAUCACACAAUUUCUGUUACCAACACAGAAACCCGAAGCAGAAGCUGAUAGAAUUAAUUUCGUUAAGAAUAAGAAAGGACAAAAGUUGAUAAUCGUAUCCAAACUUCAAAAUAAUUCACGAUUCAAGUCAUCAAUCAAAAUGACAACAGUGACUGGCUACACAAAGCUCAAGUGUUCAACCCCUAAAAAAUCAUAAUCUAUAAUAAUAAAUCGAGAUUCAUCAGAAUAAAGUAAGGUUCAUGUUACGGCUCAACAAUCGGACAGAAAGAAUUGAGAUCCAUGCUGUGAUUCAUAUCAAAUUAGAUACGCGCAAUUUGCAUAGGUUAGGUUCAUUUUUGUUUCAAACCGAGAUACGACUAGAAUGUAUUGUAAAAUAUUUAUAAACAAGGUUAUGAUGAUAGAUCAGAUAAUCUAGUACUAGUGCUGUCAAAAUGAAUUUUGGCUUGAUGUCUUCUCUCAUUCUAUAUUCCUUUAUAAAUAGUACAGACUCAGUAGCUACAAUUAGUAACUUCCUAAAUUAUACAAAAUAUAUAGGAAACUAAUGAUGACAGAUCCCCUUAUUGACAAGUACAAGUUGUAGAACAAGAUAAGAGGUGAAUAUAUAUAACUACUACAGUGUGGGUUACAUCUUUGAGUUCAAAAAAAGGGACCAUUAACAGAAUGCAAAUUCUUUUGUUGAUGACAAUAUAAAAUAUAAAUAAAUAAUCAAAAUCCAACCAAAUGUUCUCAAUCCAAUCAUAAUGUAGCUGUAAAUAUGUGAUGUGUAGUAAAAAGAAGAUAAUUACCUCUCCCAUAGCAAAAAUAUUGUAUACUAAAUCAAAUGAUCUGAUCCAUUUUCACCAAUACCCUUUGCACGAGCAAGAUCCAUUUUUGAAAUGAUGGAAGCGCCUUGAGUCUCUGAGUAUGACCUCAUGUUCAACAAUCAUGGAUAUGUAGGAUAUGGCACUAUGGCAAUCACCACAGAUGCGUAAAUUCUUAGUGAUUCGAAUAGGUGCACCUGGGGGUAGUGUUAGGAUGCAUAGGCAAGAGCCAACUUCUCACUGUGUUCUAAAAGCUGGUCACCCUUUUCUUCAUCAUCCACAUCAUGAAGAGCAAAGUUUGUCUGUGGAACAUACCCAAUGGCCUUAAUGCGCUGAAUCAAAUCUGCCAGUGUUUCAUAUAUCUUCUGAGAUUGUGAGUGAGUUCUGUCUCCCACAUAAAAGGUUUCCAUACCUUUCCUUCCUUGGACCCAGCUCCAACCAGGUCUUUUCUUGAUUCCAGUACGUUUCAUCAAAUAUCUAAUUCUCGCCACAUCUUUCCAGCGUCUGGCAUUAGCAUAUAUAUUUGAAAGCAAUGUAUAUGUCCCAUCAUUGUCGGCCUUCAAUUCUAACAGUUUUUUCGCCGCGAAUUCUGCAAGUUCUACAUUUGAGUGUGUCCUACAAGCACUAAGCAAGGCAAUCCACACUACUGGUGUUGGUUCCAUCGACAUAUCAUUAAUGAGUCUCGUAGCUUCACAUAGACGACCGGCUCGACCGAAAAGAUCAGCCAUACAAGCAUAAUGCUCUACUCCAGGAUCAACUACAAAAUCCUUGCUCAUUCUAUAAAACAAAUCGAUUCCACGAUCCACCAUUCCCGAAUGACUACAAGCAUAAAGCACAACAAGAAAGGUUAUGCCAUCAAGCACUAGAGCCUCUUUCCUCAUCUCAUCAAAAACACGGAAAGCAUCUUCGCUGCACCCAUGCAUGCCAUACCCGGUGAGUAGCGAGGUCCAAGAGAUGGCAUUUCUCUUUGACAUGCUGUCGAAAACUACUUGGGCAGUAUCUACAUCUCCGGAUUUGGAAUACAUGUCUAUGAGACAAUUAGCCACAAACAGAACAUCUGAAUCAAUACGACUUCUACGCAACACAUAAGCAUGAAUCUGCUUACCAAACCUCAAUGCUGCCAAACGAGCACAAGCCAUGAGUACACAAGAUAUGGUAAAAUCAUUAGGAACUAUACAGUUAUCAAAUUUAAACAUUUCAGAGAAAAGUUGCAGGGCGUGAUUUGCAUCUCCAUACUGAGCAUAACCUCCAAUCAUCACAGUCCAAGUCACCACAUCCCUAUCUUUGGGACAUAUUUCAUCAAACAUCGCACGAGCCACUUCUAAACUCUUGCAUUUAGCAUACAUAUCAAUUAGAGCAUUAAUCCCCGCCAAAUCAUCAUUAUCAUCAUUAUGCUCCCCCUUGAGAAUAAAUUUAAUUGAAUAACAAUGAGUUUCUUUUCCAUGAAGCAAAGCUCCAACAGACGCACAACCAGAAAGCAACGACAUGAGCGUAACCACAUUAGGACGACAACUACAUCCACACAUUUGCCGAAACACAUCCAUUGCUUCACAACCAAACCCUCUCUGAGCAUACCCAGAAAUAACAGAACUCCAAGUAACAACAUCCAACUCAAUUCUCUCUUCCCUCAUUUUCCCAAACAAAGAAAGUGCAUCCUCAAAUCUACCAUUUUGAGAAUACCCGGUAACCAUAGCAUUCCAAGUAACAACAUCCUUAAACCGCAUCCUCUCAUAAACCUUACUAGCGUCUUCCAUUUUCCCACAUUUUGCAUACAUAUCAACCAAAGCAUUCCCAACAAAAAAUCCUCAACCAAACCAGUUAUAACACAUAAACCAUGAACUUGUUUCCCACAUAACCCCAAACCAAGAAAACCACUAACAGGAAGUAUAUUAACAACACCAACAGUAUCCGGCAAAAUCCCAUACCCAACCGUCAUUUCCCUAAAAAGAAAAACAGCAUCAUUUGGAACAAAACAAUGCGAAUAAACAGAAACAAUCGAAUUCUACGACACCGAAAUAAGAGGAGACCAUGUAUAAUGUAUUGUUGAUGAAGUAGUUUUGCUUGGAUUAUAGAUUUGCAUUGCUGUUUUGAAAUUUACGAAGAAGAAUGAUAUAAGAGGAGAUUAUGUGUAUUGAUAAGUAGUGGUGGUUUUGAGUUGAACGGAGGGAAACGUGAGAGCAUGCUAGCUUUUUCAUAAAAAGCCAGAUCAUAAAGUUUUUUCAAUGCUGUUGUUACUUGAAUUCAUUUAUCACUUUUUUCAUUAUGGACAAAACUAAGUACAAGCCUUGCAAGUAAGCUGCUACUAUUGAAGACUUGUGAAGCAAGCUUCCCAUUCUCUCCUUCAACUUUCUGUACAACCAUUCAAUGCAUUGGUUGAUGUGUAUACAGUUGAAAAGCACUAAUGUUGUAACCAAAACUCCAAAUGUUUCAAUUAUCACCGAAUUUCUUUAAAAGGUAAUUUGCAAUCCUUCAUUUGCAGAUUCUUGAAGUUUCUAUUUGCUAGCAUGUACUACAUGGCGUAUUUAAUGAAAUAGACAAAUAGUUAAAUUUGGUGCUACAAACUUGUUCAAAAUGAAUGAGUGAUCAACACAUUGUCGAUUCAUUUUGUAGGUGUGAUGUUUUUAGUUAUGGGGUCAUCUUAUGGGAGCUCUUUACCAAGCAGGAACCCUGGAAAGAAGUGUAUCUAUAUCGAGUUAUUUAUCAUGUUGGUGAGGAGGAUGGCCGUCUGGACAUUCCAGACAUUAUGGCCCCUGAUAUUACUAAUAUUAUUAGACAAUGUUUGAAGAAUCAAGUGUAAUCUUUUAGGUGCAGAGCAUUUUAAUAUUUAUAUGGUGUAUGUAAUGCACUUAUCGUGUCCUACAUUAAAAUGUUUUGCCACUAAAAGUAAAUGCAAUUACUCAAAAUAGAAUGUGAAAUAAUGAGAGUUCCAUAAAUAUAUUGUUAGCAAUCUGCAGUUAAUAGCAUCUGGAAGUAAGUUGCAAGGAAAAUAAAGUUCAAUCCACCUACUAUUUAAUUUUCUUUUAUUUGUUUCAUUAUCAUACUUGUAAAUUUAAUUUUCUUAAUCUUUAUUAUUCACUGUAUCAGGAUUUAUGGGCAAAAAGAAGAAGAUAAGAACCUUCUCAAGGAUUUCAAGCAUUCGAGACCUGGAAUAUCUAUCAGUUUCUCGCAAUUAGUAAGUUUCAACUCCUCCAAACUCUCUACAUUGGACAGCAUCCUCUCUAGUGUACUGCCAUAUUAAUCAGUCAGACCAAAUUCUACCACAUUUUCCAACAUAUUUUCAUGAGUGUAAUUGGAACUUCAUCUCUAAACAUAUAGUAUACAAAAGUAACGGUAAAAAAUUACAAUCAAAGAAGCCAAUGACUUUUUGCUGAUCAUUAAAUCAUACUGGUUUUUGACUGGAUCUCAAAGAAGCCUUUUAUUGACAUAUCAAAGUAUUCACAAAAUGGGUUGUUAAGGUAAGGAACAUUGCCAUUGUUUUGUUGAUGAAGUGGUUAACGGAUACACCCAACAUAAUAAUUGAAAAAGACCUAGUACCCGGACAGGAAAGCCGUAAAAGAUUACAAUAUGAUGCAUGAAACCAAUACGAAACAUAAUGUUAACUAAAUGGAAAAUCUACAUUAUAAGCUUGGAAACAAUGCAACAACCCGUGAACAACAGCAGAAAAAUGUAGCACAAAAAUCUAGAUUUAAUUCAUACUCUAAGAGAAGUAAAAAAUAUAGUACAAAUUGUUUGUGAAGUUUACUUUGAAAAAUGUUAAAUAAAAAAUGGAAUGUACUUCAGCUAAAUGAUAUGGCAACUAUGAGGUACGUGAAUCUCCUCAAGUAGAUAAGUUAGUCCUUGAACUGCACCAAUCAUAAGAAUUGCAGUCUUCCAAUUCCAGAAUUGCUGCAGAUAAGUGCAGUAGACUGUGAAUGGUAAGAAACAUAUAUUGGUGAAAUCACUGUCAAUGGAGAGAUAAGAUAAGUCUUUCAAUGAAUUAGAUUUUUUUUUUUCUUUUUUUGUGGCCCCUAUUACUCCAACCUCAUGUUUCUGAUCAAAACCACAAUAAUAAGUCUAAGUCUUCACCUUAAAGACAAAAGUGAAAGACUUUAAUGAGCUAAGUCUUCACUAUUACAAGUGGGAAUAUCAAUUACAAUGCAUUAUAAAUAUCACCUAAAUCUCCCAUUGUAAUGCAUUCAUCAUGAUACAAGUGUCUAGUUCAAUUAUAUAUAUCUCAGUGAUUGCCAAUAAUUUCAUUGUGUUGAAAUUUCCAAAAUACUUCAAAGAAUGAAGCUCUUACCAAUGUCAUGUCUUAUUUUGUUCUUCUAAGUGUUUGUAAUUGCAACAUCACCUCAUGCUGCAACAAAAAUCCAAGGUAGCGAGGCUGAUGCUCUAUUGAAGUGGAAAACAAGCCUUGACAACCAUAGCAGGGCAUUUCUCUCUUCAUGGAUUGGUAAUAAUCCUUGUGGUUGGGAAGGAAUCACGUGUGAUUAUGAAUCGAAGUCCAUCAACAAGGUAAAUCUCACCAAUAUUGGAUUAAACGGUACUCUUCAAAGUCUCAAUUUCUCAUCACUUCCGAAAAUACACACCUUAGUUUUAACAAACAACUCCUUGUAUGGAGUUAUUCCACACCAUAUUGGAGAGAUGUCUAGUCUGAAAACUCUUAAUUUGUCGAUUAACAAUCUCUUUGGGUCAAUCCCACCAUCCAUAGGUAAUUUGAUUAAUUUGGAUAGUAUUGACCUUUCACAAAAUAAUCUCUCUGGACCAAUUCCUUUCACUAUCGGAAAUUUAACCAAACUAAGUGAAUUGUAUUUUUAUUCAAAUGCUCUCUCCGGAGAAAUUCCACCUUCCAUAGGUAACUUGAUCAAUUUGGAUCUUAUUCACCUAUCAAGAAAUCAUCUCUCUGGACCAAUUCCUUCCACCAUCGGAAAUUUAACAAAACUCGGUACAUUAUCUCUUUUCUCAAAUGCUCUUGCUGGACAAAUUCCACCUUCCAUAGGAAAUUUGAUAAAUUUGGAUACUAUUUACCUUUCAAAAAAUCAUCUCUCUGGACCAAUUCUUUCCAUCAUCGGAAAUUUAACAAAAUUGAGUAAAUUAACUCUUGGCGUAAAUGCUCUCACCGGACAAAUUCCACCUUCCAUAGGUAAUUUGAUUAAUUUGGAUUACAUUUCCCUUUCACAAAAUAAUCUCUCUGGACCAAUUCCAUCCACUAUCGGAAAUUUGACAAAACUUAGCGAAUUACAUCUUUCAUUUAAUUCUCUCACUGAGAAUAUUCCAACAGAAAUGAAUAGGCUUACCGAUUUGGAAGCACUCCAUUUAGAUGUUAAUAAUUUUGUUGGUCAUUUACCUCACAAUAUUUGUGUCGGUGGGAAGAUAAAAAAAUUCACUGCUGGACUUAACCAGUUCACUGGCUUAGUUCCAGAGAGUUUGAAGAAUUGCUUAAGCCUUAAAAGAGUGAGGCUUGAUCAAAACCAACUGACUGGAAAUAUAACAAAUAGUUUUGGUGUGUAUCCAAACUUGUACUACAUGGACUUGAAUGAUAAUAAUUUUUAUGGUCAUCUUUCUCCAAAUUGGGGAAAGUGCAAGAAUCUCACAAGCCUUAAAAUCUCUGGUAAUAAUUUAACAGGAAGAAUACCACCAGAGCUAGGCAGCGCAACAAAUUUACAGGAGCUUAACUUGUCUUCAAACCAUCUAACGGGAAAAAUUCCAAAGGAGCUAGAAAACUUAUCUUUGUUGAUCAAACUCUCGUUAAGUAACAAUCACCUUUCUGGAGAAGUUCCUGUACAAAUUGCAUCAUUGCACGAGCUAACUGCAUUGGAGCUUGCAACAAAUAAUUUGAGUGGCUUCAUCCCUAAAAGACUUGGUAGGUUAUCUAGGUUAUUGCAGUUAAAUUUGAGCCAAAAUAAGUUUGAGGGGAACAUUCCUGCUGAGUUUGCCCAAUUGAAUGUUAUUGAAAAUCUUGAUCUUAGUGGGAAUUUUAUGAAUGGAACCAUACCAUCAAUGCUUGGGCAGUUAAAUCGCUUAGAAACAUUGAAUCUCUCACAUAACAAUCUCUCUGGUACCAUUCCCUCAAGCUUUGUUGAUAUGUUAAGCUUGACAACUGUUGAUAUAUCUUANUUUUUUUUUUUUUUUGUCUAUAUUAAUUAAUUAAGGUUAGAAUAUAGUUUAUCAUUAGUAGUUACAUGUAAAAUAGAAUUAUUUCACAAUUGUCUAAUCUACAUUUCAUGUUUUGUUUAUGAAAUUCUUUUGCAGACAAAGGCUAAAGCCAACCUCGAUACAAAUAAAAAACACAAUUCCCCGACUGCAUUUUCUGAAAAGAAUUGAAGGUUUUUCAAUAAAGAUCACACAAUUUCUGUUACCAACACAGAAACCCGAAGCAGAAGCUGAUAGAAUUAAUUUCGUUAAGAAUAAGAAAGGACAAAAGUUGAUAAUCGUAUCCAAACUUCAAAAUAAUUCACGAUUCAAGUCAUCAAUCAAAAUGACAACAGUGACUGGCUACACAAAGCUCAAGUGUUCAACCCCUAAAAAAUCAUAAUCUAUAAUAAUAAAUCGAGAUUCAUCAGAAUAAAGUAAGGUUCAUGUUACGGCUCAACAAUCGGACAGAAAGAAUUGAGAUCCAUGCUGUGAUUCAUAUCAAAUUAGAUACGCGCAAUUUGCAUAGGUUAGGUUCAUUUUUGUUUCAAACCGAGAUACGACUAGAAUGUAUUGUAAAAUAUUUAUAAACAAGGUUAUGAUGAUAGAUCAGAUAAUCUAGUACUAGUGCUGUCAAAAUGAAUUUUGGCUUGAUGUCUUCUCUCAUUCUAUAUUCCUUUAUAAAUAGUACAGACUCAGUAGCUACAAUUAGUAACUUCCUAAAUUAUACAAAAUAUAUAGGAAACUAAUGAUGACAGAUCCCCUUAUUGACAAGUACAAGUUGUAGAACAAGAUAAGAGGUGAAUAUAUAUAACUACUACAGUGUGGGUUACAUCUUUGAGUUCAAAAAAAGGGACCAUUAACAGAAUGCAAAUUCUUUUGUUGAUGACAAUAUAAAAUAUAAAUAAAUAAUCAAAAUCCAACCAAAUGUUCUCAAUCCAAUCAUAAUGUAGCUGUAAAUAUGUGAUGUGUAGUAAAAAGAAGAUAAUUACCUCUCCCAUAGCAAAAAUAUUGUAUACUAAAUCAAAUGAUCUGAUCCAUUUUCACCAAUACCCUUUGCACGAGCAAGAUCCAUUUUUGAAAUGAUGGAAGCGCCUUGAGUCUCUGAGUAUGACCUCAUGUUCAACAAUCAUGGAUAUGUAGGAUAUGGCACUAUGGCAAUCACCACAGAUGCGUAAAUUCUUAGUGAUUCGAAUAGGUGCACCUGGGGGUAGUGUUAGGAUGCAUAGGCAAGAGCCAACUUCUCACUGUGUUCUAAAAGCUGGUCACCCUUUUCUUCAUCAUCCACAUCAUGAAGAGCAAAGUUUGUCUGUGGAACAUACCCAAUGGCCUUAAUGCGCUGAAUCAAAUCUGCCAGUGUUUCAUAUAUCUUCUGAGAUUGUGAGUGAGUUCUGUCUCCCACAUAAAAGGUUUCCAUACCUUUCCUUCCUUGGACCCAGCUCCAACCAGGUCUUUUCUUGAUUCCAGUACGUUUCAUCAAAUAUCUAAUUCUCGCCACAUCUUUCCAGCGUCUGGCAUUAGCAUAUAUAUUUGAAAGCAAUGUAUAUGUCCCAUCAUUGUCGGCCUUCAAUUCUAACAGUUUUUUCGCCGCGAAUUCUGCAAGUUCUACAUUUGAGUGUGUCCUACAAGCACUAAGCAAGGCAAUCCACACUACUGGUGUUGGUUCCAUCGACAUAUCAUUAAUGAGUCUCGUAGCUUCACAUAGACGACCGGCUCGACCGAAAAGAUCAGCCAUACAAGCAUAAUGCUCUACUCCAGGAUCAACUACAAAAUCCUUGCUCAUUCUAUAAAACAAAUCGAUUCCACGAUCCACCAUUCCCGAAUGACUACAAGCAUAAAGCACAACAAGAAAGGUUAUGCCAUCAAGCACUAGAGCCUCUUUCCUCAUCUCAUCAAAAACACGGAAAGCAUCUUCGCUGCACCCAUGCAUGCCAUACCCGGUGAGUAGCGAGGUCCAAGAGAUGGCAUUUCUCUUUGACAUGCUGUCGAAAACUACUUGGGCAGUAUCUACAUCUCCGGAUUUGGAAUACAUGUCUAUGAGACAAUUAGCCACAAACAGAACAUCUGAAUCAAUACGACUUCUACGCAACACAUAAGCAUGAAUCUGCUUACCAAACCUCAAUGCUGCCAAACGAGCACAAGCCAUGAGUACACAAGAUAUGGUAAAAUCAUUAGGAACUAUACAGUUAUCAAAUUUAAACAUUUCAGAGAAAAGUUGCAGGGCGUGAUUUGCAUCUCCAUACUGAGCAUAACCUCCAAUCAUCACAGUCCAAGUCACCACAUCCCUAUCUUUGGGACAUAUUUCAUCAAACAUCGCACGAGCCACUUCUAAACUCUUGCAUUUAGCAUACAUAUCAAUUAGAGCAUUAAUCCCCGCCAAAUCAUCAUUAUCAUCAUUAUGCUCCCCCUUGAGAAUAAAUUUAAUUGAAUAACAAUGAGUUUCUUUUCCAUGAAGCAAAGCUCCAACAGACGCACAACCAGAAAGCAACGACAUGAGCGUAACCACAUUAGGACGACAACUACAUCCACACAUUUGCCGAAACACAUCCAUUGCUUCACAACCAAACCCUCUCUGAGCAUACCCAGAAAUAACAGAACUCCAAGUAACAACAUCCAACUCAAUUCUCUCUUCCCUCAUUUUCCCAAACAAAGAAAGUGCAUCCUCAAAUCUACCAUUUUGAGAAUACCCGGUAACCAUAGCAUUCCAAGUAACAACAUCCUUAAACCGCAUCCUCUCAUAAACCUUACUAGCGUCUUCCAUUUUCCCACAUUUUGCAUACAUAUCAACCAAAGCAUUCCCAACAAAAAAUCCUCAACCAAACCAGUUAUAACACAUAAACCAUGAACUUGUUUCCCACAUAACCCCAAACCAAGAAAACCACUAACAGGAAGUAUAUUAACAACACCAACAGUAUCCGGCAAAAUCCCAUACCCAACCGUCAUUUCCCUAAAAAGAAAAACAGCAUCAUUUGGAACAAAACAAUGCGAAUAAACAGAAACAAUCGAAUUCUACGACACCGAAAUAAGAGGAGACCAUGUAUAAUGUAUUGUUGAUGAAGUAGUUUUGCUUGGAUUAUAGAUUUGCAUUGCUGUUUUGAAAUUUACGAAGAAGAAUGAUAUAAGAGGAGAUUAUGUGUAUUGAUAAGUAGUGGUGGUUUUGAGUUGAACGGAGGGAAACGUGAGAGCAUGCUAGCUUUUUCAUAAAAAGCCAGAUCAUAAAGUUUUUUCAAUGCUGUUGUUACUUGAAUUCAUUUAUCACUUUUUUCAUUAUGGACAAAACUAAGUACAAGCCUUGCAAGUAAGCUGCUACUAUUGAAGACUUGUGAAGCAAGCUUCCCAUUCUCUCCUUCAACUUUCUGUACAACCAUUCAAUGCAUUGGUUGAUGUGUAUACAGUUGAAAAGCACUAAUGUUGUAACCAAAACUCCAAAUGUUUCAAUUAUCACCGAAUUUCUUUAAAAGGUAAUUUGCAAUCCUUCAUUUGCAGAUUCUUGAAGUUUCUAUUUGCUAGCAUGUACUACAUGGCGUAUUUAAUGAAAUAGACAAAUAGUUAAAUUUGGUGCUACAAACUUGUUCAAAAUGAAUGAGUGAUCAACACAUUGUCGAUUCAUUUUGUAGGUGUGAUGUUUUUAGUUAUGGGGUCAUCUUAUGGGAGCUCUUUACCAAGCAGGAACCCUGGAAAGAAGUGUAUCUAUAUCGAGUUAUUUAUCAUGUUGGUGAGGAGGAUGGCCGUCUGGACAUUCCAGACAUUAUGGCCCCUGAUAUUACUAAUAUUAUUAGACAAUGUUUGAAGAAGCAAGUGUAAUCUUUUAGGUGCAGAGCAUUUUAAUAUUUAUAUGGUGUAUGUAAUGCAAUUAUCAUGUCCUACAUUAAAAUGUUUUGCCACUAAAAGUAAACGCAAUUACUCAAAAUAGAAUGUGAAAUAACGAGCGUUCCGUAAAUAUAUUGUUAGCAAUCUGCAGUCUCUAUAAUGAAUAGGAACUGGAAGUAAGUUGCAAGGAAAAUAAAGUUCAAUCCACCUACUAUUUAAUUUUCUUUUAUUUGUUUCAUUAUCAUACUUGUACAUUUAAUUUUCUUAAUCUUUAUUAUUCACUGUAUCAGGAUUUAUGGGCAAAAAGAAGAUAAGAACCUUUGAAAGUCUUUUGCAUACUUUGGAGGAGCAUGCAUUGCAACCACUCAGGUACAUUUUCUCAAGGAUUUCAAGCAUUCGAGACCUAGAAUAUCUAUCAGUUUCUCGCAAUUUGUGAAUUUCAACUCCUCCAAACUCUCUACAUUGGACAGCAUCCUCUCUAGUGUACUGCCUAUAUUAAUCAGUCAGACCAAAUUCUACCUCAUUUUCCAACAUAUUUUCAUGAGUGUAAUUAGAACUUCGUCUCUAAACAUAUACUAUACAAAAGUAUUCACAAAAUGGGUUAUUAAGUUAAGGAACACUGUUUUGUUGGUGCAGUGGUUAGUGGAAAUACCCAACAUAAUAAUUGAAAGAGACCUUACACCCGUAACAGAAAAUCCGUAAAAGAUUACAACUUGAUGCAUGAAACGAAUACCAAACAUAAUGUUAACUAAAUGGAAAAUCUACAUUAUAAGGUUGGACACAAUGCAACAAGUCGGCAACAACCCGUGAACAACAGCAGAAAAAUGUAGUACAAAAAUCUAUAUUUAAUUCAUACUCUAAGAGAAAUAAAAAAUGCAGUACAAAUUGUCUGUGAAGUUUACCUUGAAAAAUGUUAAAUAAAAAAUGCAGUACAAAUUGUCUGUGAGGUUUAAAUUGCACUUACCGUGUUCGGCCUAGCAAUUUCGACAUUUUUUCCAAUUGAAUUAUGAGUUGUGGAUUAUAUAAUGAAUGGUUUUAAUAGAGUAAUGAAAGAUAAGAUAAGUCUUUCAAUGAAUUAGUUUUUUUUUUAUCUUUUUUUGUGGCCGCUAUUACUCCAACCUCAUGUUUCUGAUCAAAACCACAAUAAGUCUAAGUCUUCACCUUAAAGACAAAAGUCUUCACUAUUACAAGUGGGAAUAUCAAUUACAAUGCAUUAUAAAUAUCACCUAAAUCUCCCAUCAUAAUACAAGUGUCUAGUUCAAUUAUAUAUAUCUCAGUGCUUGCCAAUAAUUUCAUUCUGUUGAAAUUUCCAAAAUACUUCAAAGAAUGAAGCUCUUACCAAUGCCAUGUCUUAUUUUGUUCUUCUAUGUGUUUGUAAUUGCAACAUCACCUCAUGCUGCAACAAAAAUCCAAGGUAGCGAGGCUGAUGCUCUAUUGAAGUGGAAAUCAAGCCUUGACAACCAUAGCAGGGCAUUUCUCUCUUCAUGGAUUGGUAAUAAUCCUUGUGGUUGGGAAGGAAUCACGUGUGAUUAUGAAUCGAAGUCCAUCAACAAGGUAAAUCUCACCAAUAUUGGACUAAAAGGUACACUUCAGAGUCUCAACUUCUCAUCACUUCCAAAAAUCCACACUUUAGUUUUAACAAACAACUUCUUGUACGGAGUUGUUCCACACCAAAUUGGAGAGAUGUCUAGUCUCAAAACUCUUAAUUUGUCGAUUAACAAUCUCUUUGGGUCAAUCCCACCAUCCAUAGGUAAUUUGAUUAAUUUAGAUACUAUUGACCUUUCACAAAAUACUCUCUCUGGACCAAUUCCUUUCACUAUCGGAAAUUUAACGAAGCUAAGUGAAUUGUAUUUUUAUUCAAAUGCUCUCACUGGACAAAUUCCACCUUCCAUAGGUAACUUGAUCAAUUUGGAUAUUAUUGACCUUUCAAGAAAUCAUCUCUCUGGACCAAUUCCACCUUCCAUAGGUAAUUUGAUUAAUUUGGAUUACUUUUCCCUUUCACAAAAUAAUCUCUCUGGACCAAUUCCUUCCACUAUUGGAAAUUUGACAAAACUCAGUACAUUAUCUCUUUAUUUAAAUGCUCUCACUGGACAAAUUCCACCUUCCAUAGGUAACUUGAUCAAUUUGGAUANUAUUGACCUUUCACAAAAUAAUCUCUCUGGACCAAUUCCUUUCACUAUCGGAAAUUUAACCAAACUAAGUGAAUUGUAUUUUUAUUCAAAUGCUCUCUCCGGAGAAAUUCCACCUUCCAUAGGUAACUUGAUCAAUUUGGAUCUUAUUCACCUAUCAAGAAAUCAUCUCUCUGGACCAAUUCCUUCCACCAUCGGAAAUUUAACAAAACUCGGUACAUUAUCUCUUUUCUCAAAUGCUCUUGCUGGACAAAUUCCACCUUCCAUAGGAAAUUUGAUAAAUUUGGAUACUAUUUACCUUUCAAAAAAUCAUCUCUCUGGACCAAUUCUUUCCAUCAUCGGAAAUUUAACAAAAUUGAGUAAAUUAACUCUUGGCGUAAAUGCUCUCACCGGACAAAUUCCACCUUCCAUAGGUAAUUUGAUUAAUUUGGAUUACAUUUCCCUUUCACAAAAUAAUCUCUCUGGACCAAUUCCAUCCACUAUCGGAAAUUUGACAAAACUUAGCGAAUUACAUCUUUCAUUUAAUUCUCUCACUGAGAAUAUUCCAACAGAAAUGAAUAGGCUUACCGAUUUGGAAGCACUCCAUUUAGAUGUUAAUAAUUUUGUUGGUCAUUUACCUCACAAUAUUUGUGUCGGUGGGAAGAUAAAAAAAUUCACUGCUGGACUUAACCAGUUCACUGGCUUAGUUCCAGAGAGUUUGAAGAAUUGCUUAAGCCUUAAAAGAGUGAGGCUUGAUCAAAACCAACUGACUGGAAAUAUAACAAAUAGUUUUGGUGUGUAUCCAAACUUGUACUACAUGGACUUGAAUGAUAAUAAUUUUUAUGGUCAUCUUUCUCCAAAUUGGGGAAAGUGCAAGAAUCUCACAAGCCUUAAAAUCUCUGGUAAUAAUUUAACAGGAAGAAUACCACCAGAGCUAGGCAGCGCAACAAAUUUACAGGAGCUUAACUUGUCUUCAAACCAUCUAACGGGAAAAAUUCCAAAGGAGCUAGAAAACUUAUCUUUGUUGAUCAAACUCUCGUUAAGUAACAAUCACCUUUCUGGAGAAGUUCCUGUACAAAUUGCAUCAUUGCACGAGCUAACUGCAUUGGAGCUUGCAACAAAUAAUUUGAGUGGCUUCAUCCCUAAAAGACUUGGUAGGUUAUCUAGGUUAUUGCAGUUAAAUUUGAGCCAAAAUAAGUUUGAGGGGAACAUUCCUGCUGAGUUUGCCCAAUUGAAUGUUAUUGAAAAUCUUGAUCUUAGUGGGAAUUUUAUGAAUGGAACCAUACCAUCAAUGCUUGGGCAGUUAAAUCGCUUAGAAACAUUGAAUCUCUCACAUAACAAUCUCUCUGGUACCAUUCCCUCAAGCUUUGUUGAUAUGUUAAGCUUGACAACUGUUGAUAUAUCUUACAACCAGUUGGAGGGUCCAAUUCCAAACAUUACAGCUUUCAAAAAAGCUCCAAUUGAAGCAUUGACAAAUAACAAAGGCUUAUGUGGUAAUGUCUCUGGCCUAGAGCCUUGCUCAACAUCUGGUGGCAAAUUUCAUAAUCAUAAGACUAACAAAAUUUUGGUGCUAGUUCUAUCCCUCACUCUAGGCCCUCUACUGUUAGCAUUAAUUGUGAUCUCAUACCUUUUGUGUCGAAUUUCAAGCGCAAAAGAAUACAAGCCUGCACAAGAAUUUCAAAUUGAAAAUCUGUUUGAAAUAUGGAGCUUUGAUGGCAAAAUGGUGUACGAGAACAUAAUCGAAGCCACUGAAGAUUUUGACGACAAGCAUCUCCUUGGGGUUGGAGGACAUGGAAGUGUUUACAAAGCAGAGUUGCCCACAGGUCAAGUUGUAGCUGUGAAGAAACUUCAUUCAUUACAAAAUGAAGAAAUGCCUAAUCUGAAAGCUUUCACAAAUGAGAUCCAUGCUUUGACAGAAAUUCGACAUCGCAACAUUGUGAAGUUAUACGGGUUUUGUUCACAUCGACUACACUCAUUUUUGGUUUAUGAAUUCUUGGAGAAGGGUAGCAUGGACAUCAUUUUGAAGGACAAUGAACAAGCUCCUGAAUUUGAUUGGAAUAGGAGGGUGGAUGUUAUUAAAGAUAUAGCUAAUGCUUUAUGCUAUAUGCAUCAUGAUUGUUCACCUUCAAUUGUUCAUCGCGAUAUAUCCAGCAAGAAUGUCAUUUUGGAUUUGGAAUAUGUAGCUCAUGUCUCAGACUUUGGAACAUCUAAGUUUCUCAAUCCCAAUUCAUCCAAUAUGACUUCUUUUGCAGGCACUUUUGGAUAUACUGCUCCAGGUGAAUUCUUUUUUUCAUUAAUUAAGGUUAAAAUAUUUUGUAGUUUAUCUUUAGUACUUUACAUGUAAAAUCUAAUUAUUUCACAAAUCUACAUUUAAUGUUUUGUUUUUCAAAUCCUAUUUUUCACAUAAAUAUUUGUAAAUUUCUACAGAACUUGCAUACACAAUGGAAGUAAAUGAGAAAUGUGAUGUGUUUAGUUUUGGGAUAUUAACCUUGGAAAUACUUUUUGGAAAGCACCCUGGAGAUAUUGUAACUUAUUUGUGGCAACAACCUUCACAAAGUGUUAUGGACAUGAGACCUGAUACUAUGCAAUUGAUAGAUAAGUUGGACCAGCGUGUCCCUCAUCCCACAAAUACCAUUGUUCAAGAAGUGGCAUCGAUGAUAAGGAUUGCAGUUGCUUGCUUAACUGAAAGCCCGCGUUCUCGCCCUACCAUGGAGCAGGUCUGCAGACAGUUUGUAAUGUCAUAAUCAUCUUCAGAUACAUAUUGUCUCAUAUAUAUGGUGGAUUCAAUAUAAACGAUUGAACUUUUGUAUGAUCGUCAUUAUCUUUUUGAUACUAUAAUUCAUAUAAUAUUUAGACAAAAUUAUUGAGUUUUACUUAAUCAGGCCUUUUAUUCCAUAAAUAUCAAUAAUUUUAAAGCAAAAUUAAAAUGUUCAAAAUCACUACACACACUGUAAAGAAUGACAUCCUCCCCGCAAGGUCUAGUUUUUGUUUAUACGCAAAUCCAUAAAUUAAUUUUGACCACAUGGUAGACUCAUAUCAAUGAUGUGCACACAAUAUUAUAUAGACAUCAAAAUAUUUAUAAGGAAUAAUUGCUUUAGUUUUCCUAAUUUAGGAGUCAUAAAAUGUUGAGAGACUUGUACAUUUACUCCAAAUGGUGGAGAAAUUAGUUCAAUGUUGGCGAUAAAUAUUGAAUUAUUAACUCUAUGAGUUUAGUGUAGUGUUAAAAAGAUAAACUUUUGAACUCCAAAGGCUUGGUCUAGUGGUAAAAAGACAGGUCUUGAAUCCGAAAGAACCCAGGUUCGAGCCCUACUAGUGCCUUUGGAGGGAGGUUGAAUUCAAAUGUUUUAAGUUUAUGUUCAGAUAGUAUCCUUAAUGAGAUAAAUCUAAAUCUCUUUAUAAAUGAUGACUGAGUCAAGCUAAAAUUUAGUUAGUAUCUUUGGAAGGAGGUAAAUGUAAAUUCUUUUGAAAAUGACCAUUGAACCCUAUAAGAGUGUGUUUGGAUGGAGGAAUGUUUUGAGGGAAUGUAAUGUUUUGAGGGAAUUCAACUACUUUAAGGUGAAUUCUAUUGUUUGAAUUCACCUCAAAGUAGUUGAAUUCCCUCAAAACAUUACAUUCCCUCAAAACAUUCCCCCAUCCAAACACACUCUAAGGUAUUCUCUACUUUGGCCAGGGGCAUUAUCCCUCCAUCUAAAAAUAUUUUCAUAAACAAAAUUGAAAAGUAAUAACAAUGAAUGAUGUUAGAUUAAUGAAAGUUAAGUAUAUAUUUUUCUAAUUGAAAGUUAAACUCAUUACCUCCCUGUUACUCCAAAUCGGUGGACGACUGACUUUAAUUAUUACAAUAGCUUAUUUACGUAUUAUGUUUGUGUGUAUAAAUAAAUAUCAGCUACAUCUCCCAAUAUGAUGCAUGCAAUAUCAUAAUAAGUCUCUUGUUCAAUUAUAAUACAUCAGUGAUUGCCAAUACUUUCAUUUUAUUGUAUUCAAAUGCUUCAGAGGAUGAAGUUCUUACCAAUGUCGUGUCUUCUUUUGUUCUUCUAUGUGUAUGUAAUUGCCACAUCACCUCAUGCUGCAACAAAAAUCAAAGGCAGUGAGGCAGAUGCUCUGUUGAAGUGGAAAGCAAGCCUUGACAACCACAACAGGGCAUUGCUCUCUUCAUGGAUUGGUAAUAAUCCUUGUAGUAGUUGGGAAGGAAUCACAUGUGAUGAUGAUUCAAAAUCCAUCAACAAGGUAAAUCUCACCAAUAUUGGACUAAAAGGUACGCUUCAAACUCUCAAUUUCUCAUCACUUCCGAAAUUGAAAAGUUUAGUUUUAAGCAGCAACUCCUUCUACGGUGUAGUUCCACACCAUAUUGGUGUAAUGUCCAAUCUAGAAACUCUUGAUUUGUCACUAAAUGAACUCUCUGGUACCAUUCCCAAUACCAUUGGUAAUUUGUACAAACUAUCCUAUCUUGAUCUCAGCUUUAAUUAUCUCACCGGGUCUAUCUCAAUUUCUAUAGGAAAGUUGGCCAAAAUAAAAAAUCUCAUGUUACAUUCGAAUCAACUUUUUGGCCAGAUUCCUCGUGAAAUUGGGAAUUUGGUCAACCUCCAGAGACUAUAUCUUGGAAAUAACAGUCUUUUUGGCUUCAUUCCUCGAGAAAUUGGAUAUCUAAAACAACUCGGCGAACUUGACUUGUCUGCGAACCAUCUCUCAGGCCCAAUCCCUUCUACAAUUGGAAAUUUGAGCAAUUUAUAUUAUCUUUACCUUUAUUCAAACCAUCUCAUUGGUAGCAUUCCAAAUGAAUUAGGAAAGCUCUAUUCCCUUUCCACAAUCCAAUUGUUAAAAAACAAUCUUUCAGGAUCAAUCCCUCCAUCCAUGGGUAACUUGGUCAAUUUAGAAUCUAUUCUCCUUCAUGAAAAUAAACUCUCUGGACCAAUUCCUUCCACUAUUGGAAAUUUAACCAAAGUGAGUGAAUUAUUAAUUUACUCAAAUGCUCUCACUGGAAAAAUUCCACCUUCCAUAGGUAAUUUGAUUAAUUUGGAUUCUAUUCACCUUUCACUAAAUAAUCUCUCUGGACCAAUUCCUUCCACUAUCGAAAAUUUGACAAAACUCAGUGCAUUAACUCUUUUAUCAAAUUCUCUCACUGAGAAUAUUCCAGCAGAAAUGAAUAGGCUUACGGAUUUGGAAGUACUCGAAUUAUAUGAUAAUAAAUUUAUUGGUCAUUUACCUCACAAUAUUUGUGUCGGUGGGAAGUUAAAAACAUUCACUGCUGCACUUAACCAGUUCAGAGGCCUAGUUCCAGAGAGUUUGAAGAAUUGCUCAAGCCUUGAGAGAUUGAGGCUUAACCAAAACCAACUGACUGGAAAUAUAACAGAGAGUUUUGGUGUGUAUCCAAACUUGGACUACAUGGACUUGAGUGAUAAUAAUUUUUAUGGUCAUCUUUCUCCAAAUUGGGGAAAGUGCAAGAAUCUCACAAGCCUAAAAAUCUCCGGUAAUAAUUUAACUGGAAGAAUACCACCAGAACUAGGCAGAGCAACAAAUUUACAGGAGCUUAACUUGUCUUCAAACGAUCUAAUGGGAAAAAUUCCAAAGGAGCUAAAAUAUUUAUCUUUGUUGUUCAAACUCUCGUUAAGUAACAAUCAUCUUUCUGGAGAAGUUCCUGUACAAAUUGCAUCAUUGCAUCAACUAACUGCAUUGGAGCUUGCAACAAAUAACUUAAGUGGCUUCAUCCUGGAAAAACUUGGUAUGUUGUCUAGGUUAUUGCAGUUGAAUUUGAGCCAUAAUAAGCUUGAGGGGAACAUUCCUGUUGAGUUUGGCCAAUUGAAUGUUAUUGAAAACCUUGAUCUUAGUGGGAAUUCUAUGAAUGGAACCAUACCAGCAAUGCUUGGCCAGUUAAAUCACUUAGAAACAUUGAAUCUCUCACAUAACAAUCUCUCUGGUACCAUUCCCUUAAGCUUUGUUGAUAUGUUAAGCUUGACAACUGUUGAUAUAUCUUACAACCAGUUGGAGGGUCCGAUUCCAAACAUUACAGCUUUCAAAAGAGCUCCAAUUGAAGCAUUGACAAAUAACAAAGGCUUAUGUGGUAAUGUCUCUGGCCUAGAGCCUUGCUCAACAUCGGGUGGCACCUUUCAUAGUCAUAAUACUAACAAAAUUUUGGUGCUAGUUCUAUCCCUCACUCUCGGCCCUCUAUUGUUAGCAUUGAUUGUUUAUGGGAUCUCAUACCUCUUUGUCGAACUUCAAGCACAAAAGAACACAAGCCAGCACAAGAAUUUCAAAUUGAAAAUCUAUUUGAAAUAUGGAGCUUUGAUGGCAAAAUGGUGUAUGAGAACAUUAUCGAAGCCACUGAAGAUUUUGACAACAAGCAUCUCAUUGGGGUUGGAGGACAUGGAAAUGUUUACAAAGCAGAGUUGCCCACAGGUCAAGUUGUAGCUGUGAAGAAACUUCAUUCAUUACAAAAUGAGGAAAUGUCUAAUCUGAAAUCUUUCACAAAUGAGAUCCAUGCUUUGACAGAAAUUCGACAUCGCAACAUUGUUAAGUUAUAUGGGUUUUGUUCACAUCGACUACACUCGUUUUUGGUUUAUGAAUUCUUGGCGAAGGGUAGCAUGGACAACAUUUUGAAGGACAAUGAACAAGCUGGUGAAUUUGAUUGGAAUAAGAGAGUGAAUAUCAUUAAGGAUAUAGCUAAUGCUUUAUGCUAUCUGCAUCAUGAUUGUUCCCCUCCUAUUGUUCAUCGAGAUAUAUCCAGCAAGAAUGUUAUUUUGGAUAUGGAAUAUGUAGCUCAUGUCUCAGACUUUGGAACAUCUAAGUUUCUAAAUCCCAACUCAUCCAAUAUGUCUUCUUUUGCAGGCACCUUUGGAUAUGCUGCUCCAGGUCAAUUCCCUUUUUUAUAUUAAUUAAAGUUAUAAUAUUUUGUACUUUAUCUUUAGUACUUACAGGUAAAAUGAAAUUAUUUCACAAUUGUCUAAUCUACAUUUCAUGUUUUGUUUAUGGAAUCCUAUUUUUCACAUGAUAAAAUCUUUUUAAAUUUCUACAGAACUUGCAUACACAAUGGAAGUAAAUGAGAAAUGUGAUGUGUAUGGUUUUGGGAUAUUAACCUUGGAAAUACUUUUUGGAAAGCACCCUGGAGAUAUUGUAACUUAUUUGUGGCAGCAACCUUCACAAAGUGUUGUGGACCUGAGACUUGAUACUAUGCCAUUGAUAGAUAAGUUAGACCAACGUCUCCCUCAUCCUACAAAUACCAUUGUUCAAGAAGUGGCAUCGAUGAUAAGGAUUGCAGUUGCUUGCUUAACUGAAAGCCCGAUUUCUCGCCCUACCAUGGAGCAGGU